RNAcentral lists this unclassified non-coding RNA (377 nucleotides) under uncultured Corynebacteriaceae bacterium. RNAcentral's name for it is "contains 16S-23S intergenic spacer region". The record is from RNAcentral. Lineage: Bacteria; Bacillati; Actinomycetota; Actinomycetes; Mycobacteriales; Corynebacteriaceae.
UCCGAGUUAACCCCGGCAGUCUCUCAUGAGUGCCCACCAUCACGUGAUGGCAACAUAAGACAAGGGUUGCGCUCGUUGCGGGACUUAACCCAACAUCUCACGACACGAGCUGACGACAACCAUGCACCACCUGUACACCAGCCACAAGGGAAGCUACAUCUCUGCAGCGAUCUGGUGUAUGUCAAGCCCAGGUAAGGUUCUUCGCGUUGCAUCGAAUUAAUCCACAUGCUCCGCCGCUUGUGCGGGCCCCCGUCAAUUCCUUUGAGUUUUAGCCUUGCGGCCGUACUCCCCAGGCGGGGCGCUUAAUGCGUUAGCUGCGGCACAGAAGACGUGGAAGUCCCCUACACCUAGCGCCCACCGUUUACGGCAUGGACUAC